This 446-nucleotide ribosomal RNA is filed under the name uncultured bacterium. Its description in RNAcentral is "partial 16S ribosomal RNA". It matches the Rfam family "Bacterial small subunit ribosomal RNA", at positions 338 to 795 of the family's 1533-position model. The record is from RNAcentral.
CCUACGGGUGGCUGCAGUCGAGAAUCAUUCACAAUGGGGGAAACCCUGAUGGUGCGACGCCGCGUGGGGGAAUGAAGGUCUUCGGAUUGUAAAUCCCUGUCAUGUGGGAGCAAAUUAAAAAGAUAGUACCACAAGAGGAAGAGACGGCUAACUCUGUGCCAGCAGCCGCGGUAAUACAGAGGUCUCAAGCGUUGUUCGGAAUCACUGGGCGUAAAGCGUGCAUAGGCUGUUUCGUAAGUCGUGUGUAAAAGGCGCGGGCUCAACCCGCGGACGGCACAUGAUACUGCGAGACUAGAGUAAGGGAGGGGGAACCGGAAUUCUCGGUGUAGGAGUGAAAUGCGUAGAUAUCGAGAGGAACACUCGUGGCGAAGGCGGGUUCCUGGACAUUAACUGACGCUGAGGCACGAAGGCCAGGGGAGCGAAAGGGAUUAGAUACCCGUGUAGUC